AAGAAAUUUUGACUAGUGAUGUGUUGCUUCUUCCUGCCUCAAACCACGCUGUGACCGUGAGCAGCAGGUAGUGGCACCUCUGGCUCCAUCACCCCCCAGCCUCUGCCUGGGCUGCUGCCGAGAGACAUCAUUGCUCAGAUUGUGCCCCUCUCCUCCAGCCCCGGCAGCAAAAUCAGUGUGCCCCGCACUAAUCCCACCACUUGGGACCUUAAAAGGUCCACUGUGCCCUCUCCUGCAUGCUCCACACCCAUCCUCUGUGCUUGUGAGCCUUUGGGUGCCUUUCACAGCUUCCCCCGCCCCAGACUUGAACAUUUCCACUUGGGAAAAUGCUAGUGCAAAGUUUAAGUGCCCCAACAUUUUGCACAGGUCAUUAUUUGUGUGCUCAGUUGUUUUUUAUGCCUGGUAAGCUCAGGAUGGAUUAUGGCUGUAGCAUCUGAGAUGGUCCUGCAACUGCUGCACAGUCCAGAGCCACAUCCUUGCUGUUCCCUGGUCUUCACCUCAUCAGCGCAUUUAUUGUUUUAUUAUAUUAUUUAUUCUACAUAGCUGCCUUGUUGGUUUUCCCUUUAGGAUGCUGAAAAAUCAGUACAUUUAAAUACUCCAUGAAUAAAAUGGCACUUGAAGUGGCUACUGACCUUCCUAUUGAUCUGAUAGGAAACAUUCCCAUGAAUUUCCCUCCACAAUAGCCCAGACCGCUCCUGGGGCGGGUGCUGACCCACUAUGUUGUUGAUGUUCAGCAGCUGGGUUUCACAGCAGGUUUUUCCCUUCCCUUCCCUUCAGUCCCUUUGCUUUUUGGGAUGGAUGGACUACAUGGGAUGGAUGUGCCAACCAGCCUCAUCCACACCUGAGACAGGGAUCUCAUGCUCCAGCCUGGGUCACCCCAGGUUAAACCUCAUGGAGUGAGCUGGCCCGGAGAGAGAUUUACAGCACCAAAUCCCAUCCUGACGCUGAAGAUGGAUAUUGAUAUUUCACUCACCACGGAUAUUUACCUACUUAGGAAAAAAAUAAUACAACACUAAGUGCUUUCUUCCCUGGGCAUGUUUUUGCCUGACAGUGUGUGUAAUCCUAAUCCCUCGGCAGGGCUAAGCCAGUGUCUGAGCAGGCAGGUGCCUGGCACGGGGAGGGACGCAGGGUCUGACGGGGCACCGGCACUGAAGAAAGGCUGGAGACGUUAAGCAAGGUGGCUGUGGCAGAAGAAGGAGAGGGAGAGUUAGUGUAGCUAAGAGGGAUCUGGGUCCUUCACCCUGCCGAUGCCAAAGGCUACCCAUGGACCAGGAACUUUGGGGCAGAGGCUGCGAUGUGGGAAAGCUCAGGUCCGGUUCAGAGGAAGACCAUGGUGGGCUGAAGGUGGGUGGAAAGGGCUGGAUGAUGCCAAGUAUGUCAGGUCUCCAGCUGGGACCGGGACACGGGGUCGUCUCCAGCAUUGUCCUCCCCAGAGGCUGAACUUGUCCGACUUCUAAUUUAGAAAAGGAAUGCCAAAGGAAGAAGGAACUGGUUUAUAUUUUCCCAAGAAAAGGCAGUCCCUUGAACUCUUCCCCCAACCAGGUGGGAUUAAGAAUUGCAGCUCUGGGUAUGUACAAACAUCCCCUUGUUUUCCCAGCACUGAGCUGGUGUAGGGGGCUUACAGAUCAUUACUGAAGUUUGGGUUGGUUUGGCAGCAAAAGGGUGACUCAGAGAACAAGUUCAGGUUAUGUUAUCAUAGGAUUAUGUAGCGUUUUAGAUGAAAAUCUUCUUUAAAGUCCUUGGGUCUUAGCCAGAUGUCAGAUUCCCCUCUGAGCAUGCACCCGAUGGGGCUCAGCUGCGAUAAAGCACCUCUCGAACAAAAUGGCUUUUACUGUGGGCAAAUAAGUCGAGCCUUGAAUGCCACAGAAAUAUAAAAGACAGUGGCUGGGUAUAGCCCAUGAUUCUGCUUGAGAGCUCUCAGGGCAGAGGGAUUCAGCUCCCAGUUAGCAGCAGCCUAUUCCAGUCCACCCAUUAAACCCCUCCAGUUUACAGGGUUUGAAUUUGGCCCUUAAACUGUUAAGAGUUGCUGAAGGAUGAGCAGCAGCUGGUGGGCUGCUCGUGGGGAUUUCUCCGCUCAUGUUUAAUGCAGCAGCCAGGAGCCGGACUCAGUGCGCUGUCACUCCAGUUUCAUAGCAAAGAGCAUCCUUCAUAUCCCUGACAGUGCAAGGUGAGGUCUGCUCUGCUUUAGCAGGGCUCUUCUUCCAAAAUCAACCUGCUCAGCCUCCAGCACGCACAUCCAUACUCUUUCUCUGCCCACCACCCAUCUCCUGGAGCUGAAGCCUCCAGUGCCUUCUCCAGAGCCAAUAACCCCAUGGGGACUGUGAAUAAAUGUCUUUGCUCCGAAUUAAACCAGAGCACCCAGAAUUUUAGCCUUUGCUGGCAACCCUGGGUGAUGGUGAGCUGAAUAUCAGCACUGACUGUUGCCAGCAUCCCCUGUGCUGUCGAAUUCUUUAAAAUGGCUUAAUCUGGGAAAUUCUGCAAUCCCUCAGCUGACUUCACAUGGAGAGAGAUCCAGGUGGCAUUUUGCAGUGCCAGCAACAAUCCUGUUAUCCUGGCUGUGUGUUUUAAACUCCCUUCAGUUGGACAUCCCUCAAAAGGAUGAGACAGUCAGCUCUGCAAUUGUCAGUGCUAAAGAAAUGGGAAGUUUUAGAAAAUCAAAAUCUUUGCAGGGAAUAGGGAAAAAAGCAGUGCCCCAGCAACUCCAUAAUGUCUGAGAUGUGUUAGCCCAGGCACAGGGCAGCACCAGGGAGCCUCCUUUCCCUGGCUGCUCAGGGGUUCCCAUGGGAAGCAACCUGAGAAGAAAUGACGAAUCCAUGUAAAAUCAUGGCUAUUUUGGUGAGUGGAAAACAAGCCAGAUCCUCAGCCCACUGGGGAGAUGAAAAUAGCAUCCUCUGGGGCUUUGCUUUGGAAAAUAUUUGGAAUAUCUUCAGAAAAAAAAGUGGGAAAAGUCAGAGUUAUGUUUAGUAACAGAAGCCAGUCAGCUCCCAAGCUGGAAGACAACGUGGGUAAGAGUAAUUUCGGUGCUCUGAAAUCACAUGUGGCCACGCACCAGGAUUCAGGUUCGAGCUCCACAACGAAGGGCGUGAGGAAGAACACUCUGCGGAGGACAGGGGGUCUUGUGCCCUGCAGACUGACUGAGUUUGCGGCUGGGGUGGCCGCAGUGGGGACACAUGGUGCUCCCGGCCCCAGCAGCAGCCCAGGGACGUGUGGGUGAAACACGGGCGGUUGCCGGUCGGGCAAUGGUAGCGCAUCCCUCCCCGGUGGCCUGGAGGGCCCUUAGCCCUGUGUUUCUCAUUAGCGUCAUUCAUAUUUUAUACCUUUUUCAAGCCUUCUGAUACAGGAAUGCUGGAAGCUCAUAAAUAAUGUCCACUGGUGCCAGACUGCAUUAAAACUUAAUGAAUUUUCUUCUGGGUCAAGUGAGUGGCCACAACCACAGCCCUUGGUUGGUCCUGACUCAGCUCCACUCCCUCUGAUUAGGUGCUCCAUCAUUGUCCUUCCCAUCCUCCAUCACUACCCUCUCUGUCCUCCAUCAUCACCCUCUCCAUCCUUCAUCACUGCCCUCUCCAUCCUCCAUCAUUGACCUUCCCAUUCUCCAUCAUCUCCUUCUUCAUCCUCCAUCGUUGUCCUUCCCAUCCUCCAUCGCUGCCCUCUCCAUCUUCCAUCAUCACCCUCUCCAUCCUUCAUCACUGCCCUCUCCAUCCUCCAUCAUUGUCCUUCCCAUUCUCCAUCAUCUCCUUCUCCAUCCUCCAUCACUGCCCUCUCCACCCUCUAUCGCUGCCCUCUCCAUCUGCCGGGUGGCUGUAGGGGAUCACAGCAUCAUUGCAUCCUGAGCACAGGAGCAGCCUUUGGCUCUGCCCGAUACUGAUGUCCCGGAGGAGCCAGCACGGAGGCUCAGGAGCCACCAGCCAAGCGCCUCUUUCCACAUGACCUGAAAUUCAGGGAUUUCUCUUGGACUCCUUUAGGGAAAAAAGGAGUUGAGCACUCACGUCUUGUUCCCUAGCAACACUGCUGCUUCCAAUUCCUGAUUUUUUUUUUCUUUUGGGGGGAUCCUUCAUGCGUUGUGCUCUGAGCCACAGAAACGCACCGUCCCUGGUGCAAGGGGGAACCCGGGCAGGCAGCCAGCACCGACACGUCCACAGCAGGGCUUGGAGACAAACCUCAAUGCGAUGGGUGCCAAGAGACACAGCCUUCCUUUUGCAACCCAAACUGCCUGUUUUUCAAAACAAAUGGCAUUCCUGAGAGUGCGUAACCAUGGGGAAACACAUGCCAGUGCCCUCCCCAGCCCUGCGGGUGCUGGGUGCUGGGUGCUGACGUCAAGUCAAAAUGUAGGCAAAAUGAUGAUGGCUAAUGGAGCACCGAGCUCUCCACAACUAAUGGGUGAUUUUCCAUGCGCACAGGAGGAGUUAUUCAAUAAAUCAGCCAUGAACAUCUCAGAGAAGAUUACUGCAAGUAGAAACAACUAUGGACUUAAACAAGGAGGGGAAGAAUUUUAAAGCAAUAUUUAAAGUUAUUUUAAAGUGUGCCACUGCUUGGAGGAGAGUUUUUCUUGCAGUGGUGGGGCAGAAAUAUGUAUUGUUACUAGUUAGGGCGGCUCUUUGCUGGAAAUGGUGGUUUCAGGCUUUAGGAGAUGGACCCAUCUCCCCCCAGUUUCUGCCGAGAGGUUUUGGGACUCCCCAACCCCACUGCAUUCACCAGCACCACUCUGUCUCCUAAAUUGUCUGAAAGGUAAAAUAGACUCCAAAUCUGGGGGCAAAUGCAACACGUGCA
Aquila chrysaetos chrysaetos is the source of this 4767-nucleotide long non-coding RNA. RefSeq lists it as uncharacterized. The transcript has 2 exons. The record is from RefSeq and is a predicted model, not a curated record. Lineage: Eukaryota; Metazoa; Chordata; Aves; Accipitriformes; Accipitridae.